Bubalus bubalis (water buffalo) is the source of this 1075-nucleotide long non-coding RNA. RefSeq lists it as uncharacterized. NCBI's taxonomy places the organism in Eukaryota, Metazoa, Chordata, Mammalia, Artiodactyla, Bovidae. The record is from RefSeq and is a predicted model, not a curated record. The transcript is spliced from 4 exons.
CUUUGCGCCGGGCGCUGGGCGGAGCGGCCUGGGACGCGCCCUUGCGAACCGCCAGGCGGCGUCGCGCGAGUCAAACGCUAGACGCUGAGGGAAACCAGGAAGACGCCCUGGGGCCCCCUCAGGUGGAAGCAAUCACACAGAGUCGCAAAGGCGGCCUCAGUGUUGCUUUCUCUUCAGCUCAGGCUGUGACUCCCUUGUUUUAAACGUGAAAAUCCCUUCUUUUCAAACGAAAAGCCAUUUCUCCCCGCGCCUGCUGAAUGGACUAUAUUAAAGGCCAUGGGGGCACAGGAACACCUCACGGGCGUGCAUCACUGACAUGUGACGUGUUAGAGCCCUUUGGGAAAAUAAUCCCGAAAAAGUUAUUACAAUGUUUAAUGUGCGUGAUCUUUGACCCAGCCAUCUUUCUGAGAAUCUUCUAGAAGUAAAAGGAACGGUAGAUAAGGAUCCUCCUCCAAGGUGGUCUCUCCGCCCACUUCCUGCCCUGCGCCCUGAAGCGAUCCUGCCUCUGUGCUCUUCUCUCCUGGCACCCUCAGAUCCCGCCAGGCCUGGCUCUCAGUGUCCUCAGAGCACCUGUCCGGAGGGACCACAUUCUCCUCAGUAAAGCUGCACCUCCACUCCCGCCUUCACGAGGCAGCCAGGCCCCAGGUGCCGUGUUCUUGCUCGCCUUUCACCGCCACAGAAGCUUCCGGAGGAAGAGAACAGGUCUGCUGUUUGUUCACCUUGUAAAGUAGAGCAGCAGCUGGGAUACUGCGGGUGCUCUAAGCACUUUCUGCUAGCAACUGCUGGAUAAAGUCCAUUGAUCAGCUGCCUCUCCCCUGGCAUGUGAAGAACAAAUGUAGAGUCACUGACUAAAACAAUAACAAACUUAUCUGGAAUUAGCAGGAACUGAGAUAGAAGGGUAUAUGGAGGCCCUGAAAAAUGUUGAGAAAAUGAAGACUUCAUUCAAAGAAGAUCUCAAGGAGGAGGAGGUGUUACUAUUCAUCGCAUUGAUGGUAACCAAUUAAUAACCAAGUAGAGCCUUCUUGUCAAUAUGCAAUCGAAUAAAAUAAUACUUGGGUUACUAAUAGCUUCAGAU